AGAGCGAACGCUGGCGGCAGGCCUAACACAUGCAAGUCGAGCGCGUGUAGCAAUACACGAGCGGCAGACGGGAGAGUAACACGUGGGAACGCGCCCUUCGGUUCGGAAUAACUCAGGGAAACUUGAGCUAAUACCGGAUACGCCCUUACGGGGAAAGAUUUAUUGCCGAAGGAACGGCCCGCGUCCGAUUAGCUAGUUGGUGAGGUAACGGCUCACCAAGGCGACGAUCGGUAGCUGGUCUGAGAGGAUGACCAGCCUCACUGGGACUGAGACACGGCCCAGACUCCUACGGGAGGCAGCAGUGGGGAAUAUUGGACAAUGGGCGCAAGCCUGAUCCAGCCAUGCCGCGUGGAUGAUGAAGGCCUUAGGGUUGUAAAGUCCUUUAACGGGAAGAUAAUGACGGUACCGUAGAAUAAGCCCCGGCUAACUUCGUGCCAGCAGCCGC
This 445-nucleotide ribosomal RNA is filed under the name uncultured bacterium. Its description in RNAcentral is "SSU rRNA". It matches the Rfam family "Bacterial small subunit ribosomal RNA", at positions 26 to 518 of the family's 1533-position model. The record is from RNAcentral.